Molecule: transfer RNA, 63 nt
Filed under: Monochamus alternatus (Japanese pine sawyer)
Lineage: Eukaryota; Metazoa; Arthropoda; Insecta; Coleoptera; Cerambycidae
Description: tRNA-Arg
Source: RNAcentral
AUAAGAAGCAAAUAUUGCAUUUAGUUUCGACCUAAAAAUUUGAUAAUUUUAAUUAUCCUUAUU